CAGCAGCCGCGGGAAUACGUAGGGUGCGAGCGUUAAUCGGAAUUACUGGGCGUAAAGCGUGCGCAGGCGGUUUUGUAAGACAGAGGUGAAAUCCCCGGGCUCAACCUGGGAACUGCCUUUGUGACUGCAAGGCUAGAGUACGGCAGAGGGGGAUGGAAUUCCGCGUGUAGCAGUGAAAUGCGUAGAUAUGCGGAGGAACACCGAUGGCGAAGGCAAUCCCCUGGGCCUGUACUGACGCUCAUGCACGAAAGCGUGGGGAGCAAACAGGAUUAGAUACCCCGGUAGUCCCUGUCUCUUAUAC
RNAcentral lists this ribosomal RNA (301 nucleotides) under uncultured bacterium. RNAcentral describes it as "partial 16S ribosomal RNA". It matches the Rfam family "Bacterial small subunit ribosomal RNA", at positions 509 to 807 of the family's 1533-position model. The record is from RNAcentral.